Non-coding RNA from Paramuricea clavata, 342 nucleotides. NCBI's taxonomy places the organism in Eukaryota, Metazoa, Cnidaria, Anthozoa, Malacalcyonacea, Plexauridae. The record is from the annotation of a GenBank genome assembly.
CCUGUCCAACCUGGCAGGCAGCGGCAUCGACCAGGGAUCGGAGUUCCUCCAUGUUUACAUGCGUAUCUGUUACAUGGUGUAUUACGCUGGAACGAAUAUGGACAUGAUCCUCCACAUUUUUCACGUUGUGUUUUGCUUCUCGAUUGUGUCCGUUCUCCCGUAGAGCCGCAUCUAUGACUACAACUACUCCACCAUGACCACGAGCUUACUUUGCACCCCCGAGCUUUACAGCCUCCUCCACCUCCCCCAUCACUUCUACGUCUUGGACAACUGCUGACGUCUUGAACAACUUGCAGGAAUGAUAAGACUACAAUGUAAGCCAACACGAUAAUCACUGCCUUC